Molecule: ribosomal RNA, 301 nt
Filed under: uncultured bacterium
Lineage: Bacteria
Description: partial 16S ribosomal RNA
Rfam family: Bacterial small subunit ribosomal RNA
Source: RNAcentral
CAGUCGCCACGGGAAUACGUAGGGUGCAAGCGUUAAUCGGAAUUACUGGGCGUAAAGCGUGCGCAGGCGGUUAUAUAAGUCAGAUGUGAAAUCCCCGGGCUCAACCUGGGAACUGCAUUUGAGACUGUAUGGCUAGAGUGUGUCAGAGGGGGGUAGAAUUCCACGUGUAGCAGUGAAAUGCGUAGAUAUGUGGAGGAAUACCGAUGGCGAAGGCAGCCCCCUGGGAUAACACUGACGCUCAUGCACGAAAGCGUGGGGAGCAAACAGGAUUAGAUACCCCGGUAGUCCCUGUCUCUUAUAC